This is a long non-coding RNA of Spodoptera frugiperda (fall armyworm), 580 nucleotides long. RefSeq lists it as uncharacterized. Lineage: Eukaryota; Metazoa; Arthropoda; Insecta; Lepidoptera; Noctuidae. The record is from RefSeq and is a predicted model, not a curated record. The transcript is spliced from 2 exons.
UGUUACAAUGACGAAAAGGGCACAAUUUAAGGCACCAGUAACCUUAGUACGAGUUUGCUUUACGUUUAAAAGUAACCGAAACGAGAGCGCGUUCGGCGCUCUGAUUGGUUGGUUUAUUCGAGUCGGCCAAUCAGAGCGCCAAACGCGCUAAGCUACGCGUAAACCAAACUCAUACUAAGGUUACGGAUCAUAUUAUAUUUAGAUAUCUACUUGAAAUGCAUAUAAAGGCACUGAGAACUCCGAAUAUAAAAAGGUCCUAUAAAUUUUUUGUUUAACAACCAUGUAUGCAAUAUUUUCCUAAUAUUAUUCUCUCUCAUAAACAACUGUGAUAUUUCUCCUACCUGGGGCCUUAGUCUGCUAUUACAAUUGUGUCAGCAGUGCGAGAGGGACGGAGCUAUACAACCUACAUAGCUCCGUCCCUCUCGCACUGCUCAGUGAUCGACCAUUCUGACACAAUUGUAAUAGCAGACUAAGGCCCCUGUUGUAUUGUAGUAGCCCAGUGAGCCAGCCUGGUCAUCGUGACGGUGUAUGUGAUAACUUGUUGCAGUGACUGUUUUAUAUUAAAUGUAUCUGAUAUUUC